Ovis aries (sheep) is the source of this 78-nucleotide regulatory RNA element. It matches the Rfam family "GAIT element". From Rfam's summary of the family: This family represents a cis-acting element in the 3'-UTR of the ceruloplasmin (Cp) gene called gamma interferon inhibitor of translation (GAIT). The GAIT element is involved in selective translational silencing of the Cp transcript. Ceruloplasmin (Cp) is a multifunctional, copper-containing glycoprotein produced by the liver and secreted into the plasma. The record is from Rfam. NCBI's taxonomy places the organism in Eukaryota, Metazoa, Chordata, Mammalia, Artiodactyla, Bovidae.
GUAUGUGAAAGUGUUGAAUAGAAGGCUUACUUUGGAAUGGCUAUAAGCAUUAAAAAAAAAAAAAGACUGAAAAUACAC